This 323-nucleotide long non-coding RNA is filed under the name Capsicum annuum. Its description in RNAcentral is "long non-coding RNA (CANN_LNC014050)". The record is from RNAcentral. Lineage: Eukaryota; Viridiplantae; Streptophyta; Magnoliopsida; Solanales; Solanaceae.
UUUCAAAGUAAAGCUUUGUAAAGCUUUGAGAGAUCUGAGACAAUAAGAAAAUUAAAAAUAUAGCAAAAUCUCUCUACUAAUAUUUUCAAUGGAGUUAGGGAUUUUUUGGUAGAGUGUAUAAGACUAAUGCAAAAUAUGGUGUAUUAGUAAUGCUUGUGUUUGUUAUGCUUGCAUUAGUUAUCUUUGUAUUUUUUUUUAUGCAGUGUUUGGUUCAAUGUAUUAAAAAAAACAUGAAUUACAUAAUUUCUUAAAAAAAAUAAAAAUUCUUUAUAUAAUACCCUCAAUAUAUAUGUUGGAAAUGAUGCAAAUUUUUUUUUGAGGGG